RNAcentral lists this transfer RNA (73 nucleotides) under Stegodyphus mimosarum. It matches the Rfam family "tRNA". Rfam says of the family: Transfer RNA (tRNA) molecules are approximately 80 nucleotides in length. Their secondary structure includes four short double-helical elements and three loops (D, anti-codon, and T loops). Lineage: Eukaryota; Metazoa; Arthropoda; Arachnida; Araneae; Eresidae. The record is from Rfam by way of RNAcentral.
GCAUUCGUGGUGUAAUGGUCAGCACACUGAGCCAGUAUUUCAGAGGUCCGUGGUUCGAUCCCCGGCGAAGGCA